This is a long non-coding RNA of Centropristis striata (black sea bass), 778 nucleotides long. RefSeq lists it as uncharacterized. The record is from RefSeq and is a predicted model, not a curated record. The transcript is spliced from 3 exons. Lineage: Eukaryota; Metazoa; Chordata; Actinopteri; Perciformes; Serranidae.
UGCUAAUAAACAACCAACCGAGCGGUUCAUUCAUCAAUAAGACAUAGAGGUGAAAGUUGUUCCUGUUGUUCUUUGUCUCUUGUGUUGAUUGAAGCCUUCAAUGACUCUGAUCAGGACAUUAAGAGGAUGUUUUGGGGCAGAUUGUCUCUUUAAAAGCAGCUGAAGGAGACUCAGGUGAGCUCCGUCAUUAGAAACUGGAUCAAAGCUCUUCUCCACCAGGCGGCGCCACUCUGAGUCUCAGAGACCAGAAGAUCCUGAUCCGGAUCAUCAUGAACCUGCUUUGAGACGCUGUGAUGUCAUCACUCCUCCAUCUUGGACUGGAACAAGGCGUCUGAUCCAGAGGACGAGUCAGCAGGUUGGACCAACACAUGGCUCACUGCCGUCAGCUGGAAGAUCCAACAGCUUCAUCAAUCAUUUACCUUUUAUUCAUGCAUUCAUAGUUUUAUUCAUCCUGUGAAAGAGACAAAAGGAGGUACAGCGCCUUCUGCUGGACGACUGCAAGAAUACAAAUCUGUAUUCAGACUCUCUGCCUCGACUUUCACACACUGGCAUCAAACUCCUGCUUCCUUAUGUUAACUAACUUAUUUAAUGAUUCAUAAGUAAAGGAGACAUUUAUUUAAAGAAUUACGAAUAAAACAACUUUUGGUCCAAACACUCAGCAGAACUUCUGUGCCUUCUUGUUUAUUUUUAAAAAGGGUUUCUGUCUUUAUAAAUGCAUAUUUGAAUUUUAUUCAUUCAUAACAAUUGUGUUCAUGAAUUAAUUUACACCCUUAACGAG